This is a non-coding RNA of Prunus mume (Japanese apricot), 1421 nucleotides long. NCBI's taxonomy places the organism in Eukaryota, Viridiplantae, Streptophyta, Magnoliopsida, Rosales, Rosaceae. The record is from RefSeq and is a predicted model, not a curated record.
AAACCAGGACCACGAAACCCACACCACAGCCCCACGGAACAUCCUCAACCACAACCCUCUUCUUCUUCUCCAAACCCCUUCUCAUCAUUUAUAUAACCAGCCCUCAUCUCCUCACCACACCCUCACAACCACAAACCACACCCACUUGCCCCCUCCCAAGAACUUCUUCUUCAAGUUUUCAUCUGGGUUUUUUGAUUGAACCCAACAAUCAGGCCAUCUUGUUGCAGAAAGAGGAAGGCGAGGAAGGCGAAGAAGGUGUUUGAUAAGUUCUUCUCUUCGGGGGUAAAACCCAGGUUCGACGAGUUGUUGACAUCACGGCUAUACACGGAGUUCCUCGGCCGCUAAUUCAUGUCCGGGCUGUCCAACGAAAGGGUUGUGUAGUUGAGAGCAACCCUUCGCCGCACGGCGGGCGUGGUGCUUUGCCUUCCGAAGGCGGUAGCCCCUCCGACCUUCUCUUUCUUGCUGGUGGUGGUUCUGCCUCCUCUCUUUUUUCCUUCUGCGUUUAUUAGCUCUAGUUUCUGUUUUGAUUUUUAGAGAUUUUUCCUCUUCUUCUUCUGUAAAGCACGAGUAGAUCGUAUUGUUGUUGUUGUGGGGGGUUUAAGGUUGGUGGUGUUUGAUUUUUACUGAGAAACGAAGAACAAAACGAAAAAGGAAAAAAAAAUGAGAGAGAGUAAUGAUGUUGAGGAUCAAGAGGGUUCCUACUGUAGUUUCGAAUUACCAGUAAGAUGAGGCGGAAGAGGGUGCUCGCCGCGUUGGGGGUUGUGGCCGCAACUGUCUUAAUCAAUGUUGCAUUCCAGGGGCAAAGCUUCCGUUGUAUGCUUUCAAGAAGCUGAACAAGAUUGAUGGUGAUAAGGAGUUGCCCGGAAGUGAGAAAAGAGAGCCUCCCGUUGACUUUCUUGACUCACUGCUUCUUGGGGAGUGGGAAGAUGGCAUGCAGAGAGGGCUGUUUCGUUAUGACAUCACUGCCUGUGAAACCAAGGUGAUCCCGGGGCAGUUUGGUUUCAUAGCCCAGCUGAAUGAGGGUCGCCACUUGAAGAAGAGACCAACUGAGUUCCGAGUUGAUAAGGUCCUCCAGCCCUUUGAUGGCAACAAGUUUAACUUCACCAAAGUUGGGCAAGAGAAGGUCCUCUUCCAGUUUGAAGCAAGCGAAGAUGGUGAAGUUCAGUUUAUCCCUAGUGCGCCCAUUGAGCCUGAAAAUUCGCCCAGUGUUGUUGCCAUCAAUGUACGCUCUUUGUUCUUGUACAUUAGUUGUUCUUAACAGGUUAUUUGAACAAAAAAGUUAUAUCAUUUACCAUCCACCAUUCAACUGACGAUCCGUCCAAGACUCAGUUCAUCAAUCGAGACGAUACUGUUGUUGCUCCUGCUAAAGAAGCAAACUUUGUGAAGCUGCUAGUACAAAGUAAAAGAGGACAAAGAAGGAA